Molecule: ribosomal RNA, 508 nt
Filed under: uncultured bacterium
Lineage: Bacteria
Description: partial 16S ribosomal RNA
Rfam family: Bacterial small subunit ribosomal RNA
Source: RNAcentral
AUUGAACGCUGGCGGCAUGCCUAACACAUGCAAGUCGAACGGCAGCACAGUAGGUAGCAAUACCUAUGGGUGGCGAGUGGCGGACGGGUGAGUAAUGCUUAGGAAUCUGCCUUAUGGUGGGGGAUAACUAACCGAAAGGUUAGCUAAUACCGCAUACGCCCUUACGGGGAAAGCGGGGGAUCGAAAGACCUCGCGCCAAUAGAUGAGCCUAAGUCCGAUUAGCUAGUUGGUAGGGUAAAGGCCUACCAAGGCGACGAUCGGUAGCUGGUCUGAGAGGACGGCCAGCCACACUGGAACUGAGACACGGUCCAGACUCCUACGGGAGGCAGCAGUGGGGAAUAUUGGACAAUGGGGGAAACCCUGAUCCAGCAAUGCCGCGUGUGUGAAGAAGGCCUGCGGGUUGUAAAGCACUUUCGGUUGGGAAGAAAAGUUUCGCGCUAAUACCGCCGAACCUUGACGUUACUGACAGAAGAAGCACCGGCUAACUCUGUGCCAGCAGCCGCGGUAA